AGAAGAGUGACGCCUGAUACAUUCUGGGCUCAGUGGCUAUAUGCCGUCGCUCGCCAGCAAAGUCGGUUAUACCUAAUCUAAUAGCUAUAUAUUCAUUCAUUUUUCCCUGCGUGGGCCCAGUCUGACCCACUGCGGAUUUGGUUUGGUUUAUACCUGUGUCACCUGGCUUCCGUUCCCGUUGUGCUGCGAGGUCUCGCGUACGCCUUAAUAUUACUCAGGUUGUCCUUGUCCUGCGUUUUCAGAACUCUUUCUAGCUAGCUUGCUAGCUAACCACUCGGAUAACAUCAUAGCUGUUUAGCUACUGGAUAGCUAUAUAGCAGGCUAUAGCUAUAAGAAGAUGACAACCACUGCCGGCGGAGAGUUUGGUAACCCCCUGCGCAAAUUCAAGCUUGUUUUCCUGGGCGAGCAAAGCGUGGGGAAGACCUCGCUCAUCACUAGGUUUAUGUAUGACAGCUUUGACAAUACAUAUCAGGCAACUAUUGGCAUAGAUUUUCUGUCGAAAACCAUGUAUUUGGAGGAUCGUACGGUGCGGCUCCAGCUGUGGGACACUGCGGGGCAGGAGCGCUUCCGUAGCCUCAUUCCCAGCUACAUCCGUGAUUCCACCAUUGCUGUGGUGGUCUAUGAUAUAACCAACCUCAACUCCUUCCAGCAAACCUCAAAAUGGAUUGAUGAUGUCAGAACAGAGAGAGGAAGUGAUGUCAUAAUCAUGCUAGUUGGAAACAAAACAGACUUGGCUGAUAAAAGGGAGGUCACACUAGAGGCUGCUGAGAGGAAAUCUCAGGAACUCGGUGUGAUGCACAUUGAGACCAGUGCCAAGACUGGACAUAACAUCAAACAGACAGAUCACCACAGAAGAGGGCGAGCAGAGAGCUAAGGAACUGAAUGUCAUGUUCAUUGAGACAAGCGCAAAGACUGGCUACAAUGUCAAACAGCUGUUCCGCCGAGUCGCUGCAGCCUUGCCUGGCAUGGAUAGCACGCCUGAGAAAAGCAAAGAGGACAUGAUUGACAUAAAACUAGAGAAGCCUCCGGAACAGCCCGUCACUGAGAGCAGCUGCUCCUGCUAGUGCCUGUCCCCGUUAUUCAUAUCCAACAGCUCGUCUCUCAGUGGCCACUUGCACCAAACACGUAAAAAAACGCCAUUCCCUUCGAUUCAGUGACUUUUUGGAGUAACCUUGUGGAUGUGCUGUUACUUAAGACAAAAAAAGUAAAGUAAAAAAAAAAAAAAAAAAAGAUAAACUAGCUAAAUUACAGGAUAAGUUAAAUGCAGAUGUGCUCAAAAACCUUCAUCUACUACUGCAUGGCAUAUAUAGGAUUGAGACUGAGAUGGCUUCUCCCACCACACUUGAGUUUUCUUGCACUUUUUUGAAGCGAAAUCAGUGUCGUCACACUUUACCAUUGUUGUAUAGUUUAAGAAUAUAUAUCCAUGCACAUGUUGUGACAUCAGUGAAGGCCUCUGCUUCUCCAAAAAAAACACGCUUUUCGUUCGGUUGGUUUGUGGUUUUUGUUUUUUACUCUACAUGGGGUGUGUAAAGAACUGCUUUUGCAAUAGUUGUGCUGAAACUAAACAAAGCUUCUGUCACCAGCGCAUUUGGUCCAAUCUUUGCUUUUCUGCUGUCCGGCUCUGAUCAAGUAUAAAAGGUAGCAGUGGGGUGCAAUUUCACCACUGCAGUUUGUGAAGGUCACUGAGGGCUAAAUAUUAUGAGUUGUAAUUAUGGCUGUUCCACUCAGAGUUCAGCUGCAUUCAGAUGAAAUUACUGUAUAGUGUAUUAAAUUAACAGAAUAUUUAAUGUCCAUUUUGUUUUCUCAUAUGAUACUAUAUCUUAAACAAGGGCAGGCUAUAAGCAGUGUAUAUUGGAACAUGCAUUGAGAAAACAACGGGAUGCGUACUUCAUUUAACCCUUCAUUUUCUCCAUAAACUGGAAAUUGAUAACUCACUUUGCUGUUCACAUAGAAUUGCAUCGUAUUUUAAAAUGCUCAUAUUUUCAGUUGGACAAAUACUGCAUUCCAUUUAGUAUAACUAGAAGAGUUUCCUGACAUGGCUACAUCAGCAGUUUUCAAUGUCUUCAUUACACUAAUGCAGGGAUGUAUGAUACAAUGGCAAGAAAUCUCACAGUUUUAAAGUUUUGAAGGGCUUGCUUGUCCCCAUCCCCCCACAUAUGUAUAGGAUUGAGUUGCAAUGUGGAAUAUUACACAUGUAAGAGGCCUAAGACUUUGAGUCUAUUUGCAAUUUGCAAUUGGAUACGUUUUACAUAGAUACAGCUCUUAAUUGCUCAAACUGAUUGGUGAAUUUGAAUGCAUAUGCAGAGUAUUUAAUGCAUCACUCAAGAUGGCAUCGUAGUUUACUGGUCGUAAAUUUAUUUUGAUUAUGUAGAGUAAAUUGUUUCAUAAUUACUUUGUUUUUUCACACUACCAAUUAUAGUAGCCUGACCUGGUUAUUUCUGCCACCACAGCAUUCUUGAACUCAUGGUUUAUAGUCUCUCUGAACUUGUGCAGUCAUUGUCACACUGCAAAGCAAGUAUUCAGUGAAUGGGAACAGUCAUUUAAUUGUUUUCUCACAUUCACCAUGCACACACAAUCCACCGACGUACACAUACAUACCCCAUCCACCGACGUACACAUAGAUACCCAUUUGCUAGAGUAUGACUUGUAAUUUUAAAAAAAUGUACAUAACUAUUGAAUCGACCUUGUAUGAAAGAGCCCGCUACCUGGAUAGGUCACUUACUAUUGUCACUGAAUACUCAUUCCUGUGCUAUUCUGGAGUGCGUCUGUCCAUUUGAAACAUGCUGUCGAUUAGUCUUUAGCAAAGUGUGUGUGAAUAAUGUACUAUUGCUAUUGGCUGUAUAAGAACAGAAGUGUAUCACAAAAUAAAAAGUAAAAUUUCA
Molecule: RNA transcript, 2882 nt
Organism: Anguilla anguilla (European eel)
Lineage: Eukaryota; Metazoa; Chordata; Actinopteri; Anguilliformes; Anguillidae
Gene name: ras-related protein Rab-6A-like
Exons: 9
Source: RefSeq, a predicted model, not a curated record